This 30-nucleotide non-coding RNA is filed under the name Rattus norvegicus (Norway rat). Lineage: Eukaryota; Metazoa; Chordata; Mammalia; Rodentia; Muridae. The record is from RNAcentral.
UGGUGGUCAGUUGAAUUAGCCUCAUACUAU